This 868-nucleotide long non-coding RNA is filed under the name Homo sapiens (human). RNAcentral's name for it is "HSALNT0319744". The record is from RNAcentral. Lineage: Eukaryota; Metazoa; Chordata; Mammalia; Primates; Hominidae.
CCAGGUGUCACAAUGGGCAACAGGGGAGGAAUGUCCUUUUUCACAUCCCUUCCUCACUUGCCUCUGCAAAUCACUCGUCUUUCUCACUACUCUCAUGACACAUCAGUUGAUAAUGCAUGAUUUCUUCUGAGACAUGCCCAUUUUAAUAACACCCAACAAAAUUCCAGGGGUCUUGAUAGGCAGAGCCUAGAGAAUGGGUUUUUUUUUUGUUUGUUUUUUCAUUUUUUUUUUUAAAGUGAAACCCCAGUGCCUCACCUAGAGAAUUCCUGACUCGCUACUGGUUGGACUUUGCUCCUUUUUCCCUAAGAGGUCUAAGGGCAUCUUUUCUGCUGCUUUGGAAGAACUCUCAUUUCAGGAUAUGCUCAAAGUGUCAAGAGAUCAAAUUUAGACAGGAUGGUGCUGGAAUGUGACUUUCUUUCCAGACUAGGUACUCUUCAAGUUGGCCUGUUUGAUGUCUUCUAUCUCAUGGAGCCCCUACGCAUUUCUUUUUUCAUUUCCCUUUAAAUUAGUCCACUUGGACAAAUAAUUAGGCAGUACUGCAAAGCAGGCAGUGGCUCAGUCCUAGGGAGACAAAGAUGUGUCAGACCCAGUUUGUUCUCAAGGAAUCCCAUGUUUAGAGAUGGAGAGAAAACAGUUACAUGGACAUAGAUAGGGAGAACAGACGUGUGAAAAAUGGUAAAGACACACAGCAAAGGCACAAGAAGACAGUACAGCUUGGGGUGAGGCCAGGUACGGCUUCCCAGAAGAGGUAGGCAUAAGCCUUGAAGGGGGCAGAAAUAAAGAGGCAGAGUAUUUCUAAUACUUCAAUGAUGUUCCCUGGCGCAAGAAUCCCUUGAGGGAAAUGUCUUCUCUCCCUUUGAACUCAGCG